AAUGAACGCUGGCGGCGCGCCUAAUACAUGCAAGUCGAGCGAGAAGACGUAGCAAUACGUUUGUAAAGCGGCGAACGGGUGAAGAAUACAUGGGUAACCUACCCUCGAGUGGGGAAUAACUAGCCGAAAGGUUAGCUAAUACCGCGUACGCUUCUUGGACUUCGGUUCAGGGAGGAAAGCGAUACCGUGGGUAUCGCGCUCUUGGAUGGGCUCAUGUCCUAUCAGCUUGUUGGUGAGGUAACGGCUCACCAAGGCUUCGACGGUAGCUGGUCUGAGAGGACGAUCAGCCACACUGGCACUGCGACACGGGCCAGACUCCUACGGGAGGCAGCAGUAAGGAAUAUUGCGCAAUGGGCGAAAGCCUGACGCAGCGACGCCGCGUGGGGGA
Molecule: ribosomal RNA, 388 nt
Filed under: uncultured bacterium
Lineage: Bacteria
Description: bacterial SSU rRNA
Rfam family: Bacterial small subunit ribosomal RNA
Source: RNAcentral